Molecule: ribosomal RNA, 210 nt
Filed under: uncultured bacterium
Lineage: Bacteria
Description: partial 16S ribosomal RNA
Rfam family: Bacterial small subunit ribosomal RNA
Source: RNAcentral
UACGAGGGGUCCUAGCGUUGUUCGGAAUCACUGGGCGUAAAGCGUAUGUAGGCGGACUUUUAAGUCAGGUGUGAAAUCCCAUGGCUCAACCAUGAAUUGCAUUUGAAACUGAAAGUCUUGAGUGUGGGAGAGAUUGGUAGAAUACCUGGUGUAGUGGUGAAAUACGUAGAUAUCAGGUGGAAUACCGGUGGCGAAGGCGGCAAUUGGCCC